AGAGGAGAUUGCGUGGUCGCGGGCCUGCGUGCCAGGUCCGAGGAAAGUCCGGACUCCUUGGGAUAGGGUGGCCGCUAACAGCGGCCGGCCGCGAGGCAGGGAAAGUGCCACAGAAAAGAGACCGCUGGAGCGGUCCUGGGAUCGUUCUCAGCAAGGGUGAAAAGGUGAGGUAAGAGCUCACCAGGCUCCCGAGAGAUUGGGGGUGCUGGGCAAACCCCACCCGGAGCAAGACCAAAUAGGAAGGAGCCCGCUGGCGGGCAGGAGUCGCCCCACUCCGUCUUCCGGGUUCGGUCGCUGGAGCAGCACGGCAACGUGCUGCCAAGAGGAAUGACCAUGGUCCCGGUGCGUUACACCGGGGAACAGAAUCCGGCUUACCGAUCUCCUCUCCUC
Molecule: RNase P RNA, 390 nt
Filed under: Desulfurellaceae bacterium
Lineage: Bacteria; Pseudomonadati; Campylobacterota; Desulfurellia; Desulfurellales; Desulfurellaceae
Description: RNase P RNA component class A
Rfam family: Bacterial RNase P class A
About the family: Ribonuclease P (RNase P) is a ubiquitous endoribonuclease, found in archaea, bacteria and eukarya as well as chloroplasts and mitochondria. Its best characterised activity is the generation of mature 5'-ends of tRNAs by cleaving the 5'-leader elements of precursor-tRNAs.
Source: RNAcentral